AAUAAGACCUCUGUUUUGCUUUCAUUGGUUUUCAGAUCAAGAGGAAAUGAUUAAUAGAAGCAGUUUGGGGGCAUUAGUAUUACGAUGCGAGAGGUGAAAUUCUUGGACCGUCGUAAGACUAACUUAAGCGAAAGCAUUUGCCAAAGAUGUUUUCAUAAAUCAAGAACGAAGCUAGCAAUUGGGUGUAGCUACUUUUAUGGCUCUCUCAGUCGCUUCCCGAGAAACCAAAGCUAUUGGGCUCCGGGGGAAGUAUGGUUGGAAAGCUAAAACUUAAAGGAAUUGACGGAAGGGCACCACCGGCUUAAUUUGACUCAACACGGGAAAACUUACCAGGUCCGAACAUAAGUGUGUAAGACAGAUUGAUAGCUCUUUCUCGAAUCUAUGGGUGGUGGUGCAUGGCCGUCCUUAGUUCGGGGAGAGAUUUGUCUGGUAAUUCCGAUAACGAACGAGGCUCAAAUAUAUUAAAUAGAUAUCUUCAGGAUUACGCUGCUGAAGCUUAUAUAGCCUUCAUUCAUGGUGGCAGUAAAAUGUUUAUUGUGUUUGAAUAUGUUUAUGUAAGUGGAGCCGUACCUGUUGGUUUGUACCAUUAUAAGGACACUAGCUUCUUAAAUGGAUAAAUUGCGUCUAGCAAUAAUGAGAUUGAGCAAUAACAAGUCUGUGAUGCCCUUAGAUGUCCUGGGCUGCACGCGCGCUACAAUGAAAGUAUCAACGUGUAUUUCCUAGACCGAGAGGUCAGGGUAAACCGCUCAACCACUUUCAUGCUUGGGAUUGUGAACUGAAACUGUUCACAUGAACUUGGAAUUCCCAGUAAGUGUGAGUCAUUAACUCGCAUUGAUUACGUCCCUGCUCUUUGUACACACCGCCCGUCUCUCAUACCGAUUGAAUUAUUUAGUGAGGUCUCAAGACGUGAUCAAAGUGACGCCUUGCGUGUUACGGUUGUUUCGCAAAAGUUGACCGAACUUGAUUAUUUAGAGGAAGUAAAAGUCCUAACAAGGUUUCAGUAGGUGAACCUGCGGAAGGAUCAUUAUUGUAUAAAAUCCUUACUGUUAAUAAAAAUUUGUUAUAAUAAAAAUACAUUUUAAAUUUACCAAAAUUACUUACCAAAUUAAAAAAUUUACCAAAUUUAAAUUACCAUAUUAUCAAAUUUACCAGAUUACCAAAAUUACCAAAUUACAAAAGCAAAGCGCAUGAUAUGAUAUGAUUAUAGAACGAAACGAUUCGAUUAAAUCAAAAUAAAAAAAUAUAUAUAUAAAUAUAUUAAAAUAAAUGUUAAAAUCAAAAUAAAAUGAAGAUGGGUUUUUAUUUAUAUGAGGCUUAUUUAUAAGAUUUAUAAGAUUUUAACACUACAAAAUGCUGUGUAAUGGCGGGCAAAACAAAAAAAUAUUAUAUAUAUGUGGCCUUAAAAUGUAAAAAUAAAACUUCGAAUGUUGGACAUCGAAGAUAUCAAAUUCGAAAAUGGAAAUCGAAUUAUAACUUUAAAAUCUAUAAUUGUCUUUUAUUAAUGAUUCGGAAAUAGAAAAAACUUGGUUAUGUUAUUAUUCUUCGUUGGUAAAACAAUUAUUCUUCGAUUAUUAUUCUUCGAUUAAUGGAAAACACUUUGCUACAAGAAAUAAUUUAAUAAAAUGUUUUUAUCAUUAUAUAUUAAGCAUUAAUGGCAAGAAAAAGUUAUAUACAACCUCAACUCAUAUGGGACUACCCCUGAGUUUAAGCAUAUUAAUUAGGGGAGGAAAAGAAACUAACAAGGAUUUUCUUAGUAUCGGAGACAUAAGAGGUGUAGAAUAAGUGGGAGAUAUUAGAUCUCGGUUUGGUAUCGUCAAUGAAAUACCACUACUCUUAUUGUUUCCUUACUUACUUGAUUAAUGGAACGUGUAUCAUUUCCUAGCCAUUAUACGGAUAUAUUUAUUAUAGCUUAUGGUAUUGGGUUUUGAUGCAAGCUUCUUUAUCAAAGUAUCACGAGUUUGUUAUAUAAUCGCAAACAAAUUCUUUAAUAAAACGAUGCAUUUAUGUAUUUUUGAUUUGAAAAUUUGGUAUAACUCCAAUUACUCAGGUAUGAUCCAAUUCAAGGACAUUGCCAGGUAGGGAGUUAGACUGGGGCGGUACAUCUCUCAAAUAAUAACGGAGGUGUCCCAAGGCCAGCUCAGUGCGGACAGAAACCACAUAUAGAGCAAAAGGGCAAAUGCUGACUUGAUCUCGGUGUUCAGUACACACAGGGACAGCAAAAGCUCGUCCUAUCUUUUGGUUUAAAGAGUUUUUAACAAGAGGUGUCAGAAAAGUUACCAUAGGGAUAACUAGCUUGUGGCGGCCAAGCGUUUUUAGUGAUCAUUGUGAAGCAAAAUUCACGAAACGUUGGAUUGUUCACCCAUGCAAGGGAACGUGAGCUUGGUUUAGACCGUCGUGAGACAGGUUAGUUUUACCCUACUAAUGACAAAACGUUGUUGCGACAGCAUUCCUGCGUAGUACGAGAGGAACCGCAGGUACGGACCAAUGGCACAAUACUUGUUCGAGCGAACAGUGGUAUGACGCUACGUCCCUUGGAUUAUGCCUGAACGCCUCUAAGGUCGUAUCCGUGCUGGACUGCAAUGAUAAAUAAGGGGCAAUUUGCAUUGUAUGGCUUCUAAACCAUUUAAAGUUUAUAAUUUACUUUAUAAACGGCAAUGGAUGUGAUGCCAAUGUAAUUUGUAACAUAGUAAAUUGGGAGGAUCUUUGAUCACCUGAUGCCGCGCUAGUUACAUAUAAUAGCAUUAUUUAGUACA
RNAcentral lists this ribosomal RNA (2753 nucleotides) under Drosophila erecta. RNAcentral's name for it is "eukaryotic LSU rRNA". The stretch from base 1 to 1027 matches the Rfam family "Eukaryotic small subunit ribosomal RNA", at positions 821 to 1831 of the family's 1831-position model. Lineage: Eukaryota; Metazoa; Arthropoda; Insecta; Diptera; Drosophilidae. The record is from RNAcentral.